Molecule: ribosomal RNA, 503 nt
Filed under: uncultured bacterium
Lineage: Bacteria
Description: bacterial SSU rRNA
Rfam family: Bacterial small subunit ribosomal RNA
Source: RNAcentral
GGCUUAGGAUGAACGCUAGCGACAGGCCUAACUCAUGCAAGUCAGGGGCAGCACAAGGAGCAAUCUGAGGUGGCGACCGGCGCACGGGUGAGUAACACGUAUGCAACCUGCCUGUAAGCGGGGAAUAACCCGUUGAAAGACGGACUAAUACCGCAUAAUACUAAAUUACUGCAUGGUAAUUUAUUUAAACAUUUAUGGCUUACAGAUGGGCAUGCGCAUGAUUAGCUAGUUGGAGAGGUAACGGCUCCCCAAGGCAACGAUCAUUAGGGGUUCUGAGAGGAAGGUCCCCCACACUGGUACUGAGACACGGACCAGACUCCUACGGGAGGCAGCAGUGAGGAAUAUUGGUCAAUGGACGAGAGUCUGAACCAGCCAAGUCGCGUGCAGGAAGAAUGUCCUUAAUGGAUUGUAAACUGCUUUUGCAGGGGAAUAAAGUGCAUCACGUGUGAUGUUUUGUAUGUACUCUGCGAAUAAGGAUCGGCUAACUCCGUGCCAGCCGCUGC